CCCUCGAUAGCUCAGUUGGCAGUACGGAGGACUGUAGAUGUUACAACGGUGAUCCUUAGGUCGCUGGUUCAAAUCCGGCUCGAGGGA
This 87-nucleotide transfer RNA is filed under the name Cordylochernes scorpioides. Its description in RNAcentral is "tRNA-Tyr". It matches the Rfam family "tRNA". From Rfam's summary of the family: Transfer RNA (tRNA) molecules are approximately 80 nucleotides in length. The record is from RNAcentral. Lineage: Eukaryota; Metazoa; Arthropoda; Arachnida; Pseudoscorpiones; Chernetidae.